This 253-nucleotide ribosomal RNA is filed under the name uncultured bacterium. Its description in RNAcentral is "partial 16S ribosomal RNA". It matches the Rfam family "Bacterial small subunit ribosomal RNA", at positions 524 to 776 of the family's 1533-position model. The record is from RNAcentral.
UACAGAGGUCUCAAGCGUUGUUCGGAUUCAUUGGGCGUAAAGAGCGUGUAGGCGGCCAGGUAGGUCGGUUGUGAAAACUGGAGGCUCAACCUUCAGACGUCGACCGAAACCAUCUGGCUAGAGUCCGGGAGAGGAGAGUGGAAUUCCUGGUGUAGCGGUGAAAUGCGCAGAUAUCAGGAAGAACACCCGUGGCGAAAGCGGCUCUCUGGAACGGUACUGACGCUGAGACGCGAAAGCGUGGGGAGCAAACAGG